Passer domesticus (house sparrow) is the source of this 2632-nucleotide long non-coding RNA. RefSeq lists it as uncharacterized. Lineage: Eukaryota; Metazoa; Chordata; Aves; Passeriformes; Passeridae. The record is from RefSeq and is a predicted model, not a curated record. The transcript has 3 exons.
CCGGCGUUCCCUCAGCCGAAGCCCUUGCCCAGCGUUCCCUCAGCCGGAGCCGGUCUGUGCCCGCUGUUCCCCUCAGCCAGGGCCGUGCCCGGUCGGGACCGGGGUUCCUGCAGGGUCCCGCACAGCCCCGCCCGGCAGCCGCUCCGAUUCCGCUCCGGCCGGUGGGCCCGGGGGUUCCGCGGUGUCCCGGCCAUUGCGCCCCUGUUCCAGCGGUUCACUCCCCUCGGGCUCGUUCGGAGCUGCCUGGCAGCUGCAAAAAGUAGAAGCGCUUUAUUUUUAGAGGCAAAACCCGAGAUUUGAAAGACGAAAUCAAGUUUGAGUAAAUUGAAGGAAUUGGCAUGCAGCAUCACUUAGUGCAGCAGGUAGAGGAUAUUACCCAGAGCACUGAGCAGAUCUGGACUAGAGAACCCAAGAUACAAGAUAGAUUCUGCAGCACUGUGGGUCUGGAGCUAAAGGAAAACAGCACCUCCUCUGCAGGAUAAGUCUCCAGGACAUGAAACCAGGGAUCCCCAGAGCGGAUAUUUCCCCUGCAGGGGGUCUGCCCAGGCAGGGAAUCUAGAUCAGCAUGGAGAAUGUUAACAGAUGGCUGCCAGGCUCGUGUUUGCCAGCUGGAGAAAAGCACAGUGCAGCAGGGAUGUGUGUCCAAGCCCUUUGCCAGUGGUGGGACCAGCCAGUGAGGAGGAAAGCUCUUGUAACUGUCCUGAUCUCCAACUAUAAGCAAAUCUAGGCAGAGGAAAAACCAGAUAUCACACACUGAUGUUACUGCUUAUGCACAGAGAGCACUGCAAUAUUUUCUUGUACUACAGAAGUAUUUAAUGUGUAGGAAUGUAAUGUGAAUUGUGUUAAUUUGCUGUAUAAAAAUAAUAUUUUCUGUACCUACGUUCAGAGAAUCAGCCUUUUGAGACAUAUCUUUAAGAAAAAUAAAUCUAUCUAGUGGUUUGUGUGGAAUGAAGAUUAUAUUUGAGUCAAAUUUAAAAGUGGCCUAUACUUUGGUGGGUAGUUAAGCUGUAAAAUUUAACCAAUGAAAGGGUAAAAGUGAUAAUCUUGCUUUUACCAGCUCAGCAGUAGCAGAGCAGGUGCAAGCCAUGUUUAAUCCAUGACCCCUGGGAAAUGGUAAUGUUCAUUUCUGUGUCUUCCUGUGCCAGAUGCCAGGCUCUCCAAAUUUCUAAUUGAGAGCACUGACUAGAAAGAAUGAUAGGACACAACUGAGCACCUGGGUCACAUCAAAAUGAGAAAAGCUCUUUAACUGCUGCUUAUUGUAAUAUGCCACUGUAGGCAACACCUGUGGUAGGACUUUAUAAAUAGAUAACCUGGGCUGUGCUCACACAAGGGGAAUUCAGAGGCUGUCAGCUUGUUAGGCAGUUUUCCAGCAGUGUGCUGAUGGCACAUGCCCAUAACCCAAGAGGAAAUCAUUCAUCAUGUUUAUAUGGUACACUAUGACACAAAGUUGUGGGGGUUUUGUUAUUUUUAAAAUUCCUAGUCUGCUUUGGCAUUAAAGGAAGUUCCAAGCAGAUCUGACAUGAGCAUUUUCUAAUUUCUUGAAGCAGGUAUGUUACCUGCCAUGUUCUAAAAUAUUUGGAUGGUCAAAAUUACUUAGCCACGGUAGCACACACUUGCAGAGGAAUUAAACUUUUAGUUUAAUAAACUUUAAGCUAAAGGUACUGAUAACUGUUUUCAUAUAUCGUUUAAUAUCUUAUGAUGUUUUUUCUGAAUUUGCAGUGGUAGUCACUGUACCCUUUGGAGCUCACAGCACUGAAACUCCACAUCCCUUUUGUAUUGUGUGCAGAUAUGAAAGAGAUCCUCCUGCUGAACAUACUACAGCCUGUGGGUUUUGAUUAGCUUUACACCUUUGGAUUGAAUUUCCUUCAUGUUCAAAUAAUUUACAUUUGAAAAUAUGAAGAAUAAAAUGCCUUUUUCAGCUACCAUUGAUUCCUGAUUACUCAGUGUAUAUAGAGGUUGAUUUAUGAGAUUCAUAUAUAGUCAGCAAAUUGUCAUCAAACCUCUUUCUACUCUUCAGAAUUCAUUUAGAUUCUGUGUUGUCUGAUAUACCAUAAACAUCCCACUAAGGUAUAUUUGUUGGUUUUUAUAUUGCAUUGGUAUCAAAAGAAAACAGCAGCUCCCUGUGAAGAUAAAUGUUUUUUUUUAAUCUGGACCAAUUUUUCUUUUCUGGGACUGGAGAGAAAAUUUGUAACUAUUGACAUUUAAUGAAUGAGAUGAGACCUUUUCACUGUGGUCAAAGCUUUGAAAAGCAACUUCAUCUCUAAGACUACAAAAUGUAGAUAAUUUUGUAAACCUGUUUCUGUUGAAUUAACUUUAUUAAAAAGAUAAAAGGAUUGUGGAAGAUAGAAGGGCUUUGAUUCUUGGAUGAUCUUUGGACUCUCAGACUGCAAGGAUAAGGAAAAUGAGCUACAUAUUUCAGGUUUGUUUUUGUAUGUAACCAGUUAAUAAGUAAACUUUUAAAGUAAGGUGCUGUUCUUAAGAGGGUCAAGGUUUUUUUAAAUGCAUCUGAUAUUUGUUUUUAGUGAGUUGUUCCUUGUCUGUGGCAUAAGCUUUGCUUAUUAGCUUUCAUUGCUUUCUCUAAUAAAUUUGCACUGAAGUAUUUUAUGCCUCUUUCUCUUCUGAUUACCAAAUA